GAAUUAGUGUCUGAUGUUGGAUGUUCC
Molecule: non-coding RNA, 27 nt
Filed under: Homo sapiens (human)
Lineage: Eukaryota; Metazoa; Chordata; Mammalia; Primates; Hominidae
Source: RNAcentral